GUACUUCUCGAUGAAUUCUGGCCCAGGGUUAGGUGUUCUUGAGUAUAUCUGGUUCAGUGGCAGAAAGAUGGGUUAGGGCCUAUGAUGUUUCACAUUACAACUGCAUCAGACAUGCAGAUGUAUUUACCAAGGUAUACUUUUCAUACUUAAUGUCGUUAUUCUACAACACAUACUUUUCCAUGCUCAAUUCUUAACAAAAAAGGAAAAAAUUAGCAUACUUCAGUUGAUGAUGUUACUAUUCUUAGUAAAAUUUUGAUUGUACAAACUCUUUUGCAGGAACCUGGUUACAACUGCAAAAAUAAAGGACCUUCAGCAGUUCAGAGUUUAGUUCCUCACCUGAAUAAAGCUUGUAUCUUUAGCUCCAGAUACAACUGCAUAAUUGUCAUAGUCAGUUG
RNAcentral lists this long non-coding RNA (395 nucleotides) under Setaria italica (foxtail millet). RNAcentral's name for it is "long non-coding RNA (SITA_LNC005448)". Lineage: Eukaryota; Viridiplantae; Streptophyta; Magnoliopsida; Poales; Poaceae. The record is from RNAcentral.